UUAACUCAAAUUUGUAUGGCGUUGAAACGUUUGCCUACGUUUGCCGCUAGGGGCGCUGUUCCAACUGCAUACAAAUUAGUUA
Non-coding RNA from Bombyx mori (domestic silkworm), 82 nucleotides. NCBI's taxonomy places the organism in Eukaryota, Metazoa, Arthropoda, Insecta, Lepidoptera, Bombycidae. The record is from Rfam.